GACGAACCGUCCAAACGUUACUCGGAAUUACUGGGCUUAAAGGGUGCGUAGGCGGCUUUGCAAGUCGGAUGUGAAAUACCCCGGCUUAACCGAGGAACUGCAUUCGAAACUGUAAAGCUCGAGAGAGAUAGAGGUGAGCGGAACUUGGGGUGGAGCGGUGAAAUGCGUUGAUAUCCCAAGGAACACCGGAGGCGAAAGCGGCUCACUGGGUCUUUUCUGACGCUGAGGCACGAAAGCUAGGGGAGCAAACGGG
Molecule: ribosomal RNA, 253 nt
Filed under: uncultured bacterium
Lineage: Bacteria
Description: partial 16S ribosomal RNA
Rfam family: Bacterial small subunit ribosomal RNA
Source: RNAcentral